RNAcentral lists this long non-coding RNA (287 nucleotides) under Ananas comosus (pineapple). RNAcentral's name for it is "long non-coding RNA (ACOM_LNC038802)". Lineage: Eukaryota; Viridiplantae; Streptophyta; Magnoliopsida; Poales; Bromeliaceae. The record is from RNAcentral.
UUUCGAAAUAGCAAAUUUCAACUACAUAUUCCAACUACUCUUUUCUUUUUUUUUUCUUUCGGAUAAAUAUAAAUAAAGUAGGAUUGGCCCGAUAAUUAUAUCUAUAUCUACAUUAAUCCAUAUUCAAAUUCAAUUCAAUUAUAAAUGUAUCAUAUACAAUAUUAUAUACAAGAAAAAAAAAUAGGGUAACCCCUUUUCCUUUCCUGGACCAUUUAUUUAGUAAAGUUAAAGUAAGGUCAUGAAAUAGUUAAAGUUAUUUAUUUUGUAUUUUAUACAUAAUGGAUUUA